Molecule: ribosomal RNA, 479 nt
Filed under: uncultured bacterium
Lineage: Bacteria
Description: partial 16S ribosomal RNA
Rfam family: Bacterial small subunit ribosomal RNA
Source: RNAcentral
GAUGAACGCUAGCGGGAGGCCUAACACAUGCAAGCCGAGCGGUAUUGUUUCUUCGGCAAUGAGAGAGCGGCGUACGGGUGCGUAACACGUGUGCAACCUGCCUUUAUCUGGGGGAUAGCCUUUCGAAAGGAAGAUUAAUACUCCAUAAUAUAUUGAACGGCAUCGUUUAAUAUUGAAAGCUCCGGCGGAUAGAGAUGGGCACGCGCAAGAUUAGCUAGUUGGUGAGGUAACGGCUCACCAAGGCGAUGAUCUUUAGGGGGCCUGAGAGGGUGAUCCCCCACACGGGUACUGAGACACGGACCAGACUCCUACGGGAGGCAGCAGUGAGGAAUAUUGGUCAAUGGGUGCAAGCCUGAACCAGCCAUCCCGCGUGAAGGACGACUGCCCUAUGGGUUGUAAACUUCUUUUGGAUAGGGAUAAACCUACCCUCGAGAGGGUAGCUGAAGGUACUAUACGAAUAAGCACCGGCUAACUCCGUG